Molecule: ribosomal RNA, 495 nt
Filed under: uncultured bacterium
Lineage: Bacteria
Description: partial 16S ribosomal RNA
Rfam family: Bacterial small subunit ribosomal RNA
Source: RNAcentral
UGAACGCUGGCGGCGUGCCUAAUACAUACACGUCGAGCGAACAGACGAGGAGCUUGCUCCUCUGACGUUAGCGGCGGACGGGUGAGUAACACGUGGAUAACCUACCUAUAAGACUGGGAUAAUUUCGGGAAACCGGAGCUAAUACCGGAUAAUAUAUUGAACCGCAUGGUUCAAUAGUGAAAGACGGUUUUGCUGUCACUUAUAGAUGGAUCCGCGCCGCAUUAGCUAGUUGGUAAGGUAACGGCUUACCAAGGCGACGAUGCGUAGCCAACCUGAGAGGGUGAUCGGCCACACUGGAACUGAGACACGGUCCAGACUCCUACGGGAGGCAGCAGUAGGGAAUCUUCCGCAAUGGGCGAAAGCCUGACGGAGCAACGCCGCGUGAGUGAUGAAGGUCUUCGGAUCGUAAAACUCUGUUAUUAGGGAAGAACAAAUGUGUAAGUAACUAUGCACGUCUUGACGGUACCUAAUCAGAAAGCCAUGGCUAACUACGUG